RNAcentral lists this long non-coding RNA (297 nucleotides) under Elaeis guineensis (African oil palm). RNAcentral's name for it is "long non-coding RNA (EGUI_LNC017780)". Lineage: Eukaryota; Viridiplantae; Streptophyta; Magnoliopsida; Arecales; Arecaceae. The record is from RNAcentral.
AGAGCUACAAAAAUCUAUGGAAAAAAAGACUACCUAGAAAGCUCGUCAGACUUAUCUCGGUGUUAUAAAGGGACUGCUCCUUGAGCAGCUCCUACUGCAGAAGAAUCAGGACUCUGAACAGCUUGUCGUACAGCUCCUGAUCUCCUCUAGGACUACAUCAUUUCUGUUCGGAGAUAAAUUGGGAGUGGCCCAAGUCCAAUUGAAGCCCCACGGGUGAUCGGUAGCAAUGUAAAAGAAUUUAUUCUUCCACCCGUGGAUGGAAGAAGGAAGCCCCUUUAUAACUAAUGAUGGGGCCAA